UGAUGUGACCAUGCCGGCUUGUUAAAGGCUGAUUUUGUCAGAAUCUCAGAAGCUACGCAAGGCCAGGCCUGCUUAGUACUUGGAUGGGAGACCUCUGGGAAUACCAGAUGCUACAGUGG
This 119-nucleotide ribosomal RNA is filed under the name Periophthalmus magnuspinnatus. The record is from RNAcentral. Lineage: Eukaryota; Metazoa; Chordata; Actinopteri; Gobiiformes; Gobiidae.